UGUGAACCAUUCUCUCGAAAUACUUUACUUUAUUUUGAGUUUUGAUGGUUGACAAAUUCCUGCGUAAUUAUAUCCAAGUUUGAAGCUAUCAAGAAGAUCUCCAAGUAUGUGACGCAACUAAGGAGAAUUGGCAAAUGGCAAGAUUAGUUUUAGUAAUUGCUUUAUUGCUGCGGCAUCUUUAUUCUCUGUGUUUUUCUCUUAGGAUGUUUUACACGCAGGGUUAUGCAGGGGUCUGGCACUUUGAUAGAUGCUGCUUCAGGCUUGAAGACUGAAGUACAUGAUAGUGUAUGCUUGCUGCCGAGUGGAAGAUGUAUUUGGGUCACAAUUGUUAAGUACUCAGACAGUAGAUACCCCAACAACUGGAUGAGGUUUUUGAGAUUUUUUUUGUACUGGGUUACAUAGUGGUGUGUGCUUGAUGGGUUGGUGACGGACAAGAGGAACAGAGACGCCGCCGAUUCGCUCGGUCCUCUCGCCGCGUGGCCAAAAGUGAGCUGCGCAUCUGGGCGCUCACCAAGUAGACCACAACCACGUCCUGAAGCUCUUAGAGAUCCUUGCAUCGUGCCAUCUCCAAGAACGACAGACCGUGGCCUCCGACAUGCUGCUGAGGUCGAUGUGGACAAACUCAUGAAUGCAUUGGAAAUACUUUCUGAAACUGAAAAGCAAUUUAAAACCACAAAGAACCAGUCUACAUGGCUUACAUCAGCUUUGUUAGGUACAGCUCAUGAUUUGAAGUACACAUUACAUAUAUGUGCACUUAUAGUUUACACACACUUGGUGGAGUGAGUUGAACAAUGGUGGGAGAUCAUAUAUAAGUGUGAGAAGAACCAAAAAAGGAUUCUUGUGUGCAGCGAGAAAAUAAAUUUAAUAGAGUAGCAUAUUAUUAUUUUUAGAAUAGGAAGAUGGUUAUAGUUUUUAUACACAUAUUUCUUAUAACUAUUUUUAAAAAUACGAUAAAAGAAAUUUGAGAUCCGUGGCAACGCAUGGCAUUUAACUAUCAAUGUAAAAAUGUGGUAGUAGUAUAGACUGUCGAAGCUUCUAUUGUUAUUCUUACUUUUGGCACUAAUUUAUCUUUCCAUCCCUUUGCUUAGAUUGUUUUUCGUUUGACAUACUAUUGAAGACACAAGGAUCAAACCAAACAUCUUGAUGAUAGCGAUAAACACAAGUCUAAGGGUGACAUAGUUUCCAAGAAAAGGUUGAGCAAGAAGUUGGAUGCUAACACAAGCAAACCAGAUCAACCUAGGCAAACCUCUGGAAUUAGAGAAGAAAGGAGAAAUUACCACUCAUGGUAAUCCCUAAGGCCCGAUGAUCGAAGUAUCAUGAGGGGUGCUGGUGAGAGGAAUGUCUAUGAUUUAAGGGGGUAUUUUGCUGGUGGAAGUGGAAGGGGUAGAGAAAGGUUUGACUAACCAUAUAGAGGUAGAGAAAACAUGCACGAGGCUGCUGGGGAUCAAACAAAAAGUGGAAGAAAGACCUUUUAUGAUCAGACAAACAAUACCCCAACCAAUGACAGAAGAAUAGUAGAGAUUUCAAAAGUUGAAGCAUUCUUGGCGCAAUAGCUAUUUUUUGUUUUUGUGUUUGCAUGGAGUUGCUUGUGACGGGUAGACGAUAACUAUGUUUCACAUUGUUGUAUGGACUUGAGUUGUUUGGGACGGCUCGAUCGUCAUGUACUUGUUGUAUAUGGCACACUGAUGUGAUUUGUCGUUCUUUUCUCACAUAGAUGAUGUUAUAUGCUUUU
Long non-coding RNA from Lolium perenne, 1732 nucleotides. RefSeq lists it as uncharacterized. The record is from RefSeq and is a predicted model, not a curated record. NCBI's taxonomy places the organism in Eukaryota, Viridiplantae, Streptophyta, Magnoliopsida, Poales, Poaceae.